UACAGAGGUCUCAAGCGUUGUUCGGAUUCAUUGGGCGUAAAGGGUGCGUAGGCGGCGCGGUAAGUCGGGUGUGAAAUCUCGGAGCUUAACUCCGAAACUGCAUUCGAUACUGCCGUGCUUGAGGACUGGAGAGGAGACUGGAAUUUACGGUGUAGCGGUGAAAUGCGUAGAGAUCGGAAGGAACAUCAGUGGCGAAGGCGGCUACCUGGACCAAUACUGACACUGAGGCGCGAGAGCGUGGGGAGCAAACAGG
RNAcentral lists this ribosomal RNA (253 nucleotides) under uncultured bacterium. RNAcentral describes it as "partial 16S ribosomal RNA". It matches the Rfam family "Bacterial small subunit ribosomal RNA", at positions 524 to 776 of the family's 1533-position model. The record is from RNAcentral.